GACGAACGCUGGCGGCGUGCUUAACACAUGCAAGUCGAACGGAAAGGCCUCUUUCGGGGGGUACUCGAGUGGCGAACGGGUGAGUAACACGUGAGUAACCUGCCCUUGACUUUGGGAUAACUUCAGGAAACUGGGGCUAAUACCGGAUAGGAGCUCCUGCUGCAUGGUGGGGUUGGAAAGUUUCGGCGGUUGGGGAUGGACUCGCGGCUUAUCAGCUUGUUGGUGGGGUAGUGGCUUACCAAGGCUUUGACGGGUAGCCGGCCUGAGAGGGUGACCGGCCACAUUGGGACUGAGAUACGGCCCAGACUCCUACGGGAGGCAGCAGUGGGGAAUAUUGCACAAUGGGUGGAAGCCUGAUGCAGCAACGCCGUGUGCGGGAUGACGGCCUUCGGGUUGUAAACCGCUUUCGCUCAUGACGAAGCUUUGCGUGACGGUAGUGGGUAAAGAAGCACCGGCUAACUACGUG
This 466-nucleotide ribosomal RNA is filed under the name uncultured bacterium. Its description in RNAcentral is "partial 16S ribosomal RNA". It matches the Rfam family "Bacterial small subunit ribosomal RNA", at positions 28 to 507 of the family's 1533-position model. The record is from RNAcentral.